This 388-nucleotide ribosomal RNA is filed under the name uncultured bacterium. Its description in RNAcentral is "bacterial SSU rRNA". It matches the Rfam family "Bacterial small subunit ribosomal RNA", at positions 29 to 420 of the family's 1533-position model. The record is from RNAcentral.
AUUGAACGCUGGCGGCAUGCCUUACACAUGCAAGUCGAACGGUAACAGGCCGCAAGGUGCUGACGAGUGGCGAACGGAUGAGUAAUGUAUCGGAACGUGCCCAGUCGUGGGGGAUAACUGCUCGAAAGAGCAGCUAAUACCGCAUACGACCUGAGGGUGAAAGCGGGGGAUCGCAAGACCUCGCGCGAUUGGAGCGGCCGAUAUCAGAUUAGGUAGUCGGUGGGGUAAAGGCCCACCAAGCCAACGAUCUGUAGCUGGUCUGAGAGGACGACCAGCCACACUGGGACUGAGACACGGCCCAGACUCCUACGGGAGGCAGCAGUGGGGAAUUUUGGACAAUGGACGCAAGUCUGAUCCAGCCAUGCCGCGUGCGGGAAGAAGGCCUCGG